Non-coding RNA from Xyrichtys novacula (pearly razorfish), 244 nucleotides. NCBI's taxonomy places the organism in Eukaryota, Metazoa, Chordata, Actinopteri, Labriformes, Labridae. The record is from the annotation of a GenBank genome assembly.
GGAGAAGGCAAGGGACACCCUGGACAAGUCACCAGUUCAUCGCAGGGCUGAGAUAUAGAGACGAACAACCAUUCACGCUCACAUUCACACCUACAGGCAAUUUGGAAGUGGCAAAUUAACCUAACCCCACUUAGGCAUGUUUUUGGAUGUGGGAGGAAACCGGAGUACCCGGAGUAAACCCACGCAGACACAGGGAGAACAUGCAAACUCCACACAGAAACGCCCUGACCCGGAUUCGAACCCA